This 465-nucleotide ribosomal RNA is filed under the name uncultured bacterium. Its description in RNAcentral is "partial 16S ribosomal RNA". It matches the Rfam family "Bacterial small subunit ribosomal RNA", at positions 28 to 507 of the family's 1533-position model. The record is from RNAcentral.
GACGAACGCUGGCGGCGUGCUUAACACAUGCAAGUCGAACGGAAAGGCCCCUUUGGGGGUACUCGAGUGGCGAACGGGUGAGUAACACGUGAGUAACCUGCCCUUGACUUCGGGAUAACUUCAGGAAACUGGGGCUAAUACCGGAUAGGAAUCCUUGCUGCAUGGUGGGGGUUGGAAAGCUUCGGCGGUUUUGGAUGGACUCGCGGCUUAUCAGCUUGUUGGUAGGGUAGUGGCUUACCAAGGCUUUGACGGGUAGCCGGCCUGAGAGGGCGACCGGCCACAGUGGGACUGAGAUACGGCCCAGACUCCUACGGGAGGCAGCAGGGGGGAAUAUUGCACAAUGGGCGGAAGCCUGAUGCAGCAACGCCGCGGGCGGGAUGACGGCCUUCGGGUUGUAAACCGCUUUCAGCAGGGGCGAAGCUUGUGGUGACGGUACCUGCAGAAGAAGCACCGGCUAACUACGUG